This 253-nucleotide ribosomal RNA is filed under the name uncultured bacterium. RNAcentral's name for it is "partial 16S ribosomal RNA". It matches the Rfam family "Bacterial small subunit ribosomal RNA", at positions 524 to 776 of the family's 1533-position model. The record is from RNAcentral.
UACGUAGGGGGCAAGCGUUGUCCGGAUUUAUUGGGCGUGAAGAGCGUGUAGGCGGCUUGGUAGGUCCGCUGUGAAAACUCGAGGCUCAACCUCGAGAUGUCGGCGGAAACCACUUGGCUAGAGUCCGGAAGAGGAGAGUGGAAUUCCUGGUGUAGCGGUGAAAUGCGCAGAUAUCAGGAAGAACACCUAUGGCGAAGGCAGCUCUCUGGGACGGUACUGACGCUGAGGUGCGAAAGCGUGGGUAGCAAACAGG